UUAUUGGGCGUAAAGCGAGCGCAGCGCCGGUUUUUUAAGUCUGAUGUGAAAGCCUUCGGUCUCAACCGAAGAAGUGCAUCGGAAACUGGGAAACUUGAGUGCAGAAGAGGACAGUGGAACUCCAUGUGUAGCGGUGAAAUGCGUAGAUAUAUGGAAGAACACCAGUGGCGAAGGCGGCUGUCUGGUCUGUAACUGACGCUGAGGCUCGAAAGUAUGGGUAGCAAACAGGAUUAGAUACCCUGGUAGUCCAUACCGUAAACGAUGAAUGCUAAGUGUUGGAGGGUUUCCGCCCUUCAGUGCUGCAGCUAACGCAUUAAGCAUUCCGCCUGGGGAGUACGGCCGCAAGGCUGAAACUCAAAGGAAUUGACGGGGGCCCGCCACAAGCGGGGGAGCAUGUGGUUUAAUUCGAAGCUACGCGAAGAACCUUACCAGGUCUUGACAUACUAUGCAAAUCUAAAAGAUUAGACGUUCCCUUCGGGGACAUGGAUACAGGUGGUGCAUGGUUGUCGUCAGCUCGUGUCGUGAGAUGUUGGGUUAAGUCCCGCAACGAGCGCAACCCUUUAUUUAUCAGUUGCCAGCAUUAAGUUGGGCACUCUGGUGAGACUGCCGGUGACAAACCGGGAGAAAGGUGGGGAUGACGUCAAAUCAUCAUGCCCCUUAUGACCUGGGCUACACACGUGCUACAAUGGAUGGUACAACGAGUUGCGAACUCGCGAGAGUAAGCUAACUCUCUUAAAGCCAUUUCUCAGUUCGAAUUGUAGGCGUGCAACUCGCCUACAUGAAGUCGGAAUCCGCUAAGUAAUCCGCGGAAUCAGCAUGGCGGCGGUGA
RNAcentral lists this ribosomal RNA (829 nucleotides) under Lactiplantibacillus plantarum. RNAcentral's name for it is "bacterial SSU rRNA". It matches the Rfam family "Bacterial small subunit ribosomal RNA", at positions 551 to 1365 of the family's 1533-position model. The record is from RNAcentral. Lineage: Bacteria; Bacillati; Bacillota; Bacilli; Lactobacillales; Lactobacillaceae.